This 164-nucleotide ribosomal RNA is filed under the name Hedychium flavum. RNAcentral's name for it is "5.8S ribosomal RNA". It matches the Rfam family "5.8S ribosomal RNA". Rfam says of the family: 5.8S ribosomal RNA (5.8S rRNA) is a component of the large subunit of the eukaryotic ribosome. The record is from RNAcentral. RNAcentral also lists the same sequence under 60 other names. Lineage: Eukaryota; Viridiplantae; Streptophyta; Magnoliopsida; Zingiberales; Zingiberaceae.
CAAAUGACUCUCGGCAAUGGAUAUCUCGGCUCUUGCAUCGAUGAAGAACGUAGUGAAAUGCGAUACUUGGUGUGAAUUGCAGAAUCUCGUGAACCAUUGAGUCUUUGAACGCAAGUUGUGCCCGAGGCCUUGUGGCCGAGGGCACGCCUGCUUGGGCGUCAUGG